GGCACUGUGGCUUAGUUGGUUAAAGAGCCUGUCUAGUAAACAGGAGAUCCUGGGUUCAAAUCCUAGCAGUGCCU
This 74-nucleotide transfer RNA is filed under the name Danionella translucida. It matches the Rfam family "tRNA". From Rfam's summary of the family: Transfer RNA (tRNA) molecules are approximately 80 nucleotides in length. RNAcentral also lists the same sequence under 1 other name. The record is from Rfam by way of RNAcentral. Lineage: Eukaryota; Metazoa; Chordata; Actinopteri; Cypriniformes; Danionidae.